AAUCAAGCCAUCAAAGGUGGUGAGCAUUCUAGCAAAAGUAAAGAGAUAGUACCCGAGGAUCAAGAAUCGGAGUACUCGGAACUCGAUUUUCAUUACAAUGAGCUCAGGAUAGUCGAUAGAUAGCUCACUUUGUUGAGGGCUACAGUUGGACUUGCAUCCUCAAAAACUGUAGGUUUACCGCUUUUGAUACUUUUGAUCAUUCAUGGGCCCACGUGUAAUUGUAAAUUAAAUUUUGUACUUUGGUUAUCUGUAUUACAAUAUGUAUGAAUUUAUUUAGCUUUUACGCUACAAAAA
Non-coding RNA from Theobroma cacao (cacao), 294 nucleotides. NCBI's taxonomy places the organism in Eukaryota, Viridiplantae, Streptophyta, Magnoliopsida, Malvales, Malvaceae. The record is from RefSeq and is a predicted model, not a curated record.